CCUACGGGGGGCAGCAGUAGGGAAUCUUCCAGAAUGGGCGAAAGCCUGAUGGAGCAACGCCGCGUGGGUGAAGAAGGUCUUUGGAUCGUAAAACCCUGUUGUUAGAGAAGAAAGUGCGUGAGAGUAACUGUUCACGUUUCGACGGUAUCUAACCAGAAAGCCACGGCUAACUACGUGCCAGCAGCCGCGGUAAUACGUAGGUGGCAAGCGUUAUCCGGAUUUAUUGGGCGUAAAGGGAACGCAGUCGGUCUUUUAAGUCUGAUGUGAAAGCCUUCGGCUUAACCGGAGUAGUGCAUUGGAUACUGGGAGACUUGAGUACAGAAGAGGAGAGUGGAACUCCAUGUGUAGCGGUGAAAUGCGUAGAUAUAUCGAAGAACACCAGUGGCGAAAGCGGCUUUCUGGUCUGUAACUGACGCUGAGGUUCGAAAGCGUGGGUAGCAAACAGGAUUAGAUACCCUAGUAGUC
This 465-nucleotide ribosomal RNA is filed under the name uncultured bacterium. RNAcentral's name for it is "partial 16S ribosomal RNA". It matches the Rfam family "Bacterial small subunit ribosomal RNA", at positions 338 to 795 of the family's 1533-position model. The record is from RNAcentral.